UACGAAGGGGGCUAGCGUUGCUCGGAAUCACUUGGGCGUAAAGGGUUGCGUAGGCGGGUUUUUAAGUCAGAGGAUGAAAUCCUGGAGCUCAACUCCAGAACUGCCUUUGAUACUGAAAGUCUUGAGUAUGGGAGAAGGUGAGUGGAACUGCGAGUGUAGAGGUGAAAUUCGUAGAUAUUCGCAAGAACACCAGUGGCGAAGGCGGCUCACUGGCCCAUAACUGACGCUGAGGCACGAAAGCGUGGGGAGCAAACAGG
This 257-nucleotide ribosomal RNA is filed under the name uncultured bacterium. RNAcentral describes it as "partial 16S ribosomal RNA". It matches the Rfam family "Bacterial small subunit ribosomal RNA", at positions 524 to 776 of the family's 1533-position model. The record is from RNAcentral.